RNAcentral lists this ribosomal RNA (372 nucleotides) under uncultured prokaryote. RNAcentral describes it as "bacterial SSU rRNA". It matches the Rfam family "Bacterial small subunit ribosomal RNA", at positions 524 to 896 of the family's 1533-position model. The record is from RNAcentral.
UACGAAGGGGGCUAGCGUUGCUCGGAAUUACUGGGCGUAAAGCGCACGUAGGCGGGUUCUUAAGUCGGGGGUGAAAUCCUGGAGCUCAACUCCAGAACUGCCUUCGAUACUGAGAGCCUCGAGUCCGGGAGAGGUGAGUGGAACUGCGAGUGUAGAGGUGAAAUUCGUAGAUAUUCGCAAGAACACCAGUGGCGAAGGCGGCUCACUGGCCCGGUACUGACGCUGAGGUGCGAAAGCGUGGGGAGCAAACAGGAUUAGAUCCCCUGGUAGUCCACGCCGUAAACGAUGGAUGCUAGCCGUUGGCGAGCUUGCUCGUCAGUGGCGCAGCUAACGCUUUAAGCAUCCCGCCUGGGGAGUACGGUCGCAAGAUUA